RNAcentral lists this ribosomal RNA (646 nucleotides) under Salmonella enterica subsp. enterica serovar Senftenberg. RNAcentral's name for it is "partial 23S ribosomal RNA". It matches the Rfam family "Bacterial large subunit ribosomal RNA", at positions 855 to 1503 of the family's 2925-position model. Lineage: Bacteria; Pseudomonadati; Pseudomonadota; Gammaproteobacteria; Enterobacterales; Enterobacteriaceae. The record is from RNAcentral.
CUCCCCGAAAGCUAUUUAGGUAGCGCCUCGUGAAUUCAUCUCCGGGGGUAGAGCACUGUUUCGGCUAGGGGGCCAUCCCGGCUUACCAACCCGAUGCAAACUGCGAAUACCGGAGAAUGUUAUCACGGGAGACACACGGCGGGUGCUAACGUCCGUCGUGAAGAGGGAAACAACCCAGACCGCCAGCUAAGGUCCCAAAGUCAUGGUUAAGUGGGAAACGAUGUGGGAAGGCCCAGACAGCCAGGAUGUUGGCUUAGAAGCAGCCAUCAUUUAAAGAAAGCGUAAUAGCUCACUGGUCGAGUCGGCCUGCGCGGAAGAUGUAACGGGGCUAAACCAUGCACCGAAGCUGCGGCAGCGACACUGUGUGUUGUUGGGUAGGGGAGCGUUCUGUAAGCCUGUGAAGGUGUGUCGUGAGGCAUGCUGGAGGUAUCAGAAGUGCGAAUGCUGACAUAAGUAACGAUAAAGCGGGUGAAAAGCCCGCUCGCCGGAAGACCAAGGGUUCCUGUCCAACGUUAAUCGGGGCAGGGUGAGUCGACCCCUAAGGCGAGGCCGAAAGGCGUAGUCGAUGGGAAACGGGUUAAUAUUCCCGUACUUGGUGUUACUGCGAAGGGGGGACGGAGAAGGCUAUGUUGGCCGGGCGACGGUU